Long non-coding RNA from Mangifera indica (mango), 881 nucleotides. RefSeq lists it as uncharacterized. The transcript is spliced from 3 exons. Lineage: Eukaryota; Viridiplantae; Streptophyta; Magnoliopsida; Sapindales; Anacardiaceae. The record is from RefSeq and is a predicted model, not a curated record.
UCAUCACCAAUGCUUCCAAGCUCUCCUGGAUAGAUAUCUCAUCUAACUCAUUCUCUGGCUUCAUUCCUGAUACAUUUGGUAAUUUAAAAAAUCUUGAGAUACUAGAUUUAGGAUAUAAUUACCUCACAUCUACUCCUAAUCUGAGCUUUCUUUCCAAUUUGACAAAUUGCAAGAGUUUAAGAACUCUAAAUUUACGUGAAAAUCCACUAAAUAGCAUCCUUCCAGGUUCCAUAGGGAAUCUUCCUAUUUCUUUGGAUAACUUUUCCAUAAAUGGUUGCAACAUUAGUGGCAAAAUUCCCAAAGAAAUUGGAAACUUGACUCAACUUAGAGGGAUCUAUCUUGGAGACAACAAACUCCAAGGAGAAAUUCCAAGAGAGCUUGGCAAUCUUGCGAAACUGGAGAAAUUAUCACUGCGAAAUUGUAACUUAACAGGUGAGAUACUGUAUGUGUUAAACUAGAAAUGUAGUUGAGUCUCCUUGAAGCCCAUUUCUGCUGAUGUUCCGAAGGCCAGCUAGACGUGAGCAGGAGUUGCCGAGGCGUGGCAGUCCAAAAGCUGCAGCCCAUAUUAACUUUUAACAAAUGCUGUGCGUUUUGGGAAGAGAAAGAAGGUUCUUCCGGACGCUUCAGUUAAACUGCUGAUUGAAAAGAUAUUGUACUUUCCCCUAACUUCGUUUCUUCUUUCUUCUAUUUUUCUCACUUCAAAGUGUCAUAGCUUUUUGAUAAAGAUCAAACGGCGUUCCAGAGUUUAGGUCUGAUUAGUUAAAGUAGUUAUGUUUCAACUGUGCUGAUUUAGAUAGCCAGCUUGGCAGCUGAUUUGUUGCAUAAAUUCUGUGUAAAAACCUAAAUUGAUUAAGGAAAAAGUGUGGUGGAAUAUUCAGUAA